This 464-nucleotide ribosomal RNA is filed under the name uncultured bacterium. RNAcentral describes it as "partial 16S ribosomal RNA". It matches the Rfam family "Bacterial small subunit ribosomal RNA", at positions 28 to 507 of the family's 1533-position model. The record is from RNAcentral.
GACGAACGCUGGCGGCGUGCUUAACACAUGCAAGUCGAACGGAAAGGCCCUGCUUGCAUGGUACUCGAGUGGCGAACGGGUGAGUAACACGUGGGUGAUCUGCCCUGCACUUCGGGAUAAGCCUGGGAAACUGGGUCUAAUACCGGAUAGGAGCCAUUUUUAGUGUGAUGGUUGGAAAGUUUUUUCGGUGUAGGAUGAGCUCGCGGCCUAUCAGCUUGUUGGUGGGGUAAUGGCCUACCAAGGCGGCGACGGGUAGCCGGCCUGAGAGGGUGGACGGCCACAUUGGGACUGAGAUACGGCCCAGACUCCUACGGGAGGCAGCAGUGGGGAAUAUUGCACAAUGGGCGCAAGCCUGAUGCAGCGACGCCGCGUGGGGGAUGACGGCCUUCGGGUUGUAAACUCCUUUCGCUAGGGACGAAGCUUUUGUGACGGUACCUAGAUAAGAAGCACCGGCUAACUACGUG